UCCCCGCUAACGCCGGCCCUCCCCGUCGGCACCCUCUUCCAUGGCGGCUUCUCUCACCCGGCACAGAUCUGAUGCUCGUCCGAUCACCCGCCCCCUCCACAUCGGCGCCACGCCCCCGACCGCGCGUCGCCAUUCGCCAUCACCGGCGCCCGCCCACACCGGCGCCGCCUCGCCGGCCCCUCCUUCCUCGUCGCCUCUCCGACCCCGUCGCCCUCGCGCCAGCUGUCAUCCCUGCACCGGACUAUGAGCCUCCAC
Molecule: long non-coding RNA, 255 nt
Filed under: Hordeum vulgare
Lineage: Eukaryota; Viridiplantae; Streptophyta; Magnoliopsida; Poales; Poaceae
Description: long non-coding RNA (HVUL_LNC006999)
Source: RNAcentral